UCCAAUCCUCGGUGCCAGCCGGUGUCAUCUAUUGUCAGCCACAGAGGGCAAGAUGAAGCUUUGCUUGCUUUUGUUUAUCUUCGUGUUGGUUCACGGGGAGCUGGCCGGAUCGCCCGGCGAUGGCGCGCUGUCCCCCGAGGCCGACGGGACGGGUGUGCAGAUGGCGAGGAGCCUCCGGACCUCGAAGAAAAAAGGGGACUGAGGAG
This is a long non-coding RNA of Penaeus monodon (black tiger shrimp), 206 nucleotides long. RefSeq lists it as uncharacterized. Lineage: Eukaryota; Metazoa; Arthropoda; Malacostraca; Decapoda; Penaeidae. The record is from RefSeq and is a predicted model, not a curated record. The transcript is spliced from 3 exons.